GCCUGGUGGUUCCUAGAGUCAGCUCCAUAGUGCUGAACUGUGGGGUGUUAUUAACAGGCGCAUAGUGAGUCUGCAAUUUUAUGCAUGGAAGCUACCGCUAUAGUAGCAAUCCAUAGCCCGGUUGCAGAGACAUUU
Molecule: small nucleolar RNA, 135 nt
Filed under: Monopterus albus (swamp eel)
Lineage: Eukaryota; Metazoa; Chordata; Actinopteri; Synbranchiformes; Synbranchidae
Description: Small nucleolar RNA SNORA84 (ENSMALG00000006638.1)
Rfam family: Small nucleolar RNA SNORA84
Source: RNAcentral